This 500-nucleotide ribosomal RNA is filed under the name Cladosporium pseudocladosporioides. RNAcentral describes it as "eukaryotic LSU rRNA". The stretch from base 136 to 289 matches the Rfam family "5.8S ribosomal RNA". Lineage: Eukaryota; Fungi; Ascomycota; Dothideomycetes; Cladosporiales; Cladosporiaceae. The record is from RNAcentral.
CCGGGAUGUUCAUAACCCUUUGUUGUCCGACUCUGUUGCCUCCGGGGCGACCCUGCCUUCGGGCGGGGGCUCCGGGUGGACACUUCAAACUCUUGCGUAACUUUGCAGUCUGAGUAAACUUAAUUAAUAAAUUAAAACUUUUAACAACGGAUCUCUUGGUUCUGGCAUCGAUGAAGAACGCAGCGAAAUGCGAUAAGUAAUGUGAAUUGCAGAAUUCAGUGAAUCAUCGAAUCUUUGAACGCACAUUGCGCCCCCUGGUAUUCCGGGGGGCAUGCCUGUUCGAGCGUCAUUUCACCACUCAAGCCUCGCUUGGUAUUGGGCAACGCGGUCCGCCGCGUGCCUCAAAUCGACCGGCUGGGUCUUCUGUCCCCUAAGCGUUGUGGAAACUAUUCGCUAAAGGGUGUUCGGGAGGCUACGCCGUAAAACAACCCCAUUUCUAAGGUUGACCUCGGAUCAGGUAGGGAUACCCGCUGAACUUAAGCAUAUCAAUAAGCGGAGGA